CCCUUAGAUGUUCUGGGCUGCACACGUGCUACACUGGCAGGUUCAGCGAGCUUCAUGCCCUGAUCUGAAAGGAAUGGGAAAUCUUUUCAAAACCUGCCGUGCUUGGGAUAGAUGUUUGCAAUUAUUCAUCUUCAACGAGGAUUGCCUUGUAAGCGCACGUCAUCAGCGUGCAUUCAAUACGACCCUGUAUUCUGUACACACCGCCCGUCGCUCCUACCGAUUGAAGUUUUCGGUGAGUUGACAGGAGGAUUUUUUUGAAACUGGUUCGCCAGUGGAUUUUAGAUCCAAAUGCCAACGAAUCGAUGGCUUUAGAGGAAGGAGAAGUCGUAACA
RNAcentral lists this ribosomal RNA (332 nucleotides) under uncultured eukaryote. Its description in RNAcentral is "partial 18S ribosomal RNA". It matches the Rfam family "Eukaryotic small subunit ribosomal RNA", at positions 1470 to 1796 of the family's 1831-position model. The record is from RNAcentral.